UCCGUCUCCAAAAAAAAAAAAAAAAUAGAAAAGAAUGAGAAGAUUAGAAAUGUCGGAUUGUGUGAAGCUAUUGUACAGUUUACAAGGACCUUUAGCCCAUCAAAACCUGCAAAAUCUUUACAUACGCAGAAGAACAGACAGUUCUUUAAUGAACCAGAAGAAAAUUUCUGGAUGGUCAUGGUAUUUACAUACACAGUGUAUCUUUCUGAAAUUGUAUGGUGAAGUUAUGGGUGAUCUUUACUAUUCAGAAUUUAGCAAAGUUCUCUGGCUAUUGCAUCCAAGUAAAAUUAAAAUAAAAUUCGUUGCAGUUUUAAAAUCAAGUUCUUCCUGUUUGCUUUAUUCGUUCUUGGGGCUGCUUUAAGAAGCUGUGUUUCUGGUGCUGUAGCAUGUGCAAAGUUUUUAAACUAAGGCAAAAUAAACAUGGUCUAAUGAAUUCAUUGUAUAAUUUCAGUUUAUCAAACUUUGUAGGUUGUUCGGAAUCCUAUAAUUGAAAAACAGUAAAGAUGGAAAACCAGUUAUUGAAUAUCAAGAGGAGGAGUUGUUGGUAACGUGUCAUUGUUUAUUUAUUUAUUUAUUUAUUUAAAUGUAUUGCUGAGUAUGUUGAAUGCCUUCCUUGGUCAGAUUUAAACUAGGUGGCUUUUGUGGAAGUUUCUCGGGGUAUAUAGCACAGGUUUAUGUUUAUCAUUUACAUGAGCAUAAUCUUUUUAAAAUGUAUAUGCACCCUAUCUCACUAAUACCUUCUAUUCCUCAUCUGUAUUGAAAGCCCUCCUAAAGUAAGGCUUACUGAUUCACAAAUUAGAGUUUAAACACUUCUGGCUGGGAACAGUGGCUCACACCUGUAAUCCUAGUACUUUGGGAGGUCGAGGCAGGCAGAUCACUUGAGGUCAGGGGUUCAAGACCAGCCUGGCCAAUGUGGCGGAACCCUGUCUCUACUAAAACUACAAAAACUGGCCAGGGAUGGUGGCGCACACGUGUCAUCCCAGCUACUUGGGAGGCUGAGGCAGGAGAAUCGCUUGAACCGGGGACGCAAAGGUUGCAGUGAGCCAAGAUUGCAUCACUGCACUCCAACCUGGACAACAGAGCGAGACUCCAUCUCCAAAAAAAAAGAACGCAAACACUUUUUAUCAGCACACGACUAUGGUGGGACCAAGUUUGUAAACAUUAUCCUGUUUGGCCAAGAGUCAGUGUACCUUUGCCAUCUAUCCAGUAGACAUUGUUUUUCCCUUGAACUGAUAUGUGUGCUAUGUUUUCGUGUGUGUAGGACAAGGUUUAUAGCUCGGUGCUGCAGCAGUGCUACAGCAUGUACAAGAAGUCUCAGGGGAUCCAGAACUGCAGCCAGUCCUUGCUGGGCUGUUCCUGUCCAUGUGCCUGGUCACGGUGCUGGGGAACCUGCUCAUCAUCCUGGCCAUCAGCCCUGACUCCCACCUCCACACCCCCAUGUACUUCUUCCUCUCCAACCUGUCCUUGCCUGACAUCGGUUUCACCUCCACCACGGUCCCCAAGAUGAUUGUGGACAUCCAGUCUCACAGCAGAGUCAUCUCCUAUGCAGGCUGCCUGACUCAGAUGUCUCUCUUUGCCAUUUUUGGAGGCAUGGAAGAGAGACAUGCUCCUGAGUGUGAUGGCCUAUGACUGGUUUGUAGCCAUCUGUCACCCGCUAUAUCAUUCACCAUCAUGAACCCGUGUUUCUGUGCCUUUCUAGUUUUGUUGUCUUUUUUUUUCUCAGUCUUUUAGACUCCCAGCUGCACAACUUGAUUGCCUUACAAGUGACCUGCUUCAAGGAUGUGGAAAUUCCUAAUUUCUUCUGUGACCCUUCUCAACUCUCCCAUCUUGCAUGUUGUGACACCUUCACCAUUAACAUAAUCAUGUAUUUCCCUGCUGCCAUAUUUGGUUUUCUUCCCAUCUUGGGGACC
This is a long non-coding RNA of Homo sapiens (human), 1910 nucleotides long. Lineage: Eukaryota; Metazoa; Chordata; Mammalia; Primates; Hominidae. The record is from Ensembl.